Molecule: ribosomal RNA, 450 nt
Filed under: uncultured Glomus
Lineage: Eukaryota; Fungi; Glomeromycota; Glomeromycetes; Glomerales; Glomeraceae
Description: SSU rRNA
Rfam family: Eukaryotic small subunit ribosomal RNA
Source: RNAcentral
AGCAGCCGCGGUAAUUCCAGCUCCAAUAGCGUAUAUUAAAGUUGUUGCAGUUAAAAAGCUCGUAGUUGAAUUUCGGGAUCAAUACGUCGGUCGUGCCUCCGGUAUGUACUGGUGUUAUUGAUUUCUCCCUUCUGAUGAACCAUGAUGUCAUUAAUUUGAUGUUGUGGGGAGUCAGGACUGUUACUUAUGAAAAAUUAGAGUGUUUAAAGCAGGCUCACGCUUGAAUACAUUAGCAUGGAAUAAUGAAAUAGGACGUUCGAUCCUAUUUUGUUGGUUUCUAGGAUCAACGUAAUGAUUAAUAGGGAUAGUUGGGGGCAUUAGUAUUCAAUUGUCAGAGGUGAAAUUCUUGGAUUUAUUGAAGACUAACUACUGCGAAAGCAUUUGCCAAGGGUGUUUUCAUUAAUCAAGAACGAAAGUUAGGGGAUCGAAGACGAUCAGAUACCGUCGUAG